CGCGUAGGCGGCUUUAUAAGUCAGAUGUGAAAUCCCACGGCUUAACCGUGGAAGUGCAUUUGAAACUGUGAGGCUUGAGUAUCGGAGGGGAGUGUGGAAUUCCCGGUGUAGAGGUGAAAUUCGUAGAGAUCGGGAGGAACACCGGUGGCGAAGGCGACACUCUGGACGAAUACUGACGCUGAGGCGCGAAAGCGUGGGGAGCAAACA
Molecule: ribosomal RNA, 207 nt
Filed under: uncultured bacterium
Lineage: Bacteria
Description: partial 16S ribosomal RNA
Rfam family: Bacterial small subunit ribosomal RNA
Source: RNAcentral